This 497-nucleotide ribosomal RNA is filed under the name uncultured bacterium. RNAcentral describes it as "partial 16S ribosomal RNA". It matches the Rfam family "Bacterial small subunit ribosomal RNA", at positions 28 to 507 of the family's 1533-position model. The record is from RNAcentral.
GAUGAACGCUGGCGGCGUGCCUAAUACAUGCAAGUCGAGCGAACAGACGAGGAGCUUGCUCCUCUGACGUUAGCGGCGGACGGGUGAGUAACACGUGGAUAACCUACCUAUAAGACUGGGAUAACUUCGGGAAACCGGAGCUAAUACCGGAUAAUAUAUUGAACCGCAUGGUUCAAUAGUGAAAGACGGUUUUGCUGUCACUUAUAGAUGGAUCCGCGCCGCAUUAGCUAGUUGGUAAGGUAACGGCUUACCAAGGCAACGAUGCGUAGCCGACCUGAGAGGGUGAUCGGCCACACUGGAACUGAGACACGGUCCAGACUCCUACGGGAGGCAGCAGUAGGGAAUCUUCCGCAAUGGGCGAAAGCCUGACGGAGCAACGCCGCGUGAGUGAUGAAGGUCUUCGGAUCGUAUAACUCUGUUAUUAGGGAAGAACAAAUGUGUAAGUAACUAUGCACGUCUUGACGGUACCUAAUCAGAAAGCCACGGCUAACUACGUG